Molecule: ribosomal RNA, 520 nt
Filed under: uncultured Glomus
Lineage: Eukaryota; Fungi; Glomeromycota; Glomeromycetes; Glomerales; Glomeraceae
Description: SSU rRNA
Rfam family: Eukaryotic small subunit ribosomal RNA
Source: RNAcentral
AGCAGCCGCGGUAAUUCCAGCUCCAAUAGCGUAUAUUAAAGUUGUUGCAGUUAAAAAGCUCGUAGUUGAAUUUCGGGGUUAGUAGAUUGGUCGUGCCACUGGUAUGUACUGGUCUUACUGGCUCCUCCUUCCUGAUGAACCGUAAUGCCAUUAAUUUGGUGUUGCGGGGAAACUGGACUGUUACUUUGAAAAAAUUAGAGUGUUUAAAGCAGGCUAACGCUUGAAUACAUUAGCAUGGAAUAAUGAAAUAGGACGUUCGAUCUUAUUUUGUUGGUUUCUAGGAUUGACGUAAUGAUUAAUAGGGAUAGUUGGGGGCAUUAGUAUUCAAUUGUCAGAGGUGAAAUUCUUGGAUUUAUUGAAGACUAACUACUGCGAAAGCAUUUGCCAAGGAUGUUUUCAUUAAUCAAGAACGAAAGUUAGGGGAUCGAAGACGAUCAGAUACCGUCGUAGUCUUAACCAUAAACUAUGCCGACUAGGGAUCGGAUGAUGUUAAUUUUUAAUGACUCAUUCGGCGCCUUAC